This 598-nucleotide ribosomal RNA is filed under the name uncultured bacterium. RNAcentral's name for it is "bacterial SSU rRNA". It matches the Rfam family "Bacterial small subunit ribosomal RNA", at positions 338 to 949 of the family's 1533-position model. The record is from RNAcentral.
CCUACGGGAGGCAGCAGUGGGGAAUAUUGGACAAUGGGCGAAAGCCUGAUCCAGCAAUGCCGCGUGAGUGAUGAAGGCCUUAGGGUUGUAAAGCUCUUUUACCCGGGAUGAUAAUGACAGUACCGGGAGAAUAAGCUCCGGCUAACUCCGUGCCAGCAGCCGCGGUAAUACGGAGGGAGCUAGCGUUGUUCGGAAUUACUGGGCGUAAAGCGUACGUAGGCGGUUAUUCAAGUCAGAGGUGAAAGCCUGGAGCUCAACUCCAGAACUGCCUUUGAAACUAGGUAGCUAGAAUCUUGGAGAGGUUAGUGGAAUUCCGAGUGUAGAGGUGAAAUUCGUAGAUAUUCGGAAGAACACCAGUGGCGAAGGCGACUAACUGGACAAGUAUUGACGCUGAGGUACGAAAGCGUGGGGAGCAAACAGGAUUAGAUACCCUGGUAGUCCACGCCGUAAACGAUGAUAACUAGCUGUUCGGGCUCUACGAGCUUGAGUGGCGCAGCUAACGCAUUAAGUUAUCCGCCUGGGGAGUACGGUCGCAAGAUUAAAACUCAAAAGUGUAAUUGACGGUGAGAGACGCGACGACGACGACGACGAGGAGGAG